CUACACACAUAUCACUUUCCACCAUGCUGCUCAUGUUAGAGCCGCUUACCGGGAAAACUUAAGAACCGAUCUCAGUACCGGCCAGCUUUUCCAAAGACUUGAGAACCAAACGAUGAUCUAACCGACAACAUUAAUCCACAACAACAACUAUUUAGCAGAGAAUGGCUACUUCUGUUAAAAUAAUGGGGGGAAACUGGAAUGCCCAAUGGUCAACGGAUGUAGAAAAUGAAGUCCCGCCUUACAGGAACUGUUGUGAGUUGAUUCUGGGCAGUCAGCCAAGUGAUCCAGUCGUUGCUCAUUUGGCGCCAGCGGACGAGUCAGCCCUCCAGGGUCUGGCAGUCAGGCCUGUGUCCAAACACCCUGCACAUCCAAUUCCGGGGAGUGUUUUGAGUCAUUCUUCCCCUUGGCAGACUCCCCCACCAGCGGUGAGUUGUAGAGCAAUCUAUCAGAGACAUGGAGUGGUUGAACAUCUCCACUGUGCAGGGUGGCCCCUCACCCUCUAAAUAGG
Molecule: long non-coding RNA, 508 nt
Organism: Myxocyprinus asiaticus (Chinese sucker)
Lineage: Eukaryota; Metazoa; Chordata; Actinopteri; Cypriniformes; Catostomidae
Exons: 3
Source: RefSeq, a predicted model, not a curated record